GAUGAAGAACGUAGCGAAAUGCGAUACUUGGUGUGAAUUGCAGAAUCCAGUGAACCAUCGAGUCUUUGAACGCAAGUUGCGCCCGAAGCCAUUAGGCCGAGGGCACGCCUGCCUGGGCGUCACACGUCGUUGCCCCCCCAUCUACUCCUUCGGGAUUGCGGGGGGCGGAUGAUGGCCUCCCGUGCGCCUCGCCGCGCGGUUGGCAUAAAUGCCAAGUCCUCGGCGACGCACGCCACGACAAUCGGUGGUUGCGAAACCUCGGUUGCCCGUCGUGUGCGGUCGUCGCGCAUCGAGGGCUCGAAAAAAUUGCCGGGUUCCGGCUCGGCUUUCAACGCGACCCCAGGUCAGGCGGGGUUACCCGCUGAAUUUAAGCAUAUCAAUAAGCGGAGGA
RNAcentral lists this unclassified non-coding RNA (391 nucleotides) under soil metagenome. RNAcentral describes it as "partial contains 5.8S ribosomal RNA, internal transcribed spacer 2, and large subunit ribosomal RNA". The stretch from base 1 to 122 matches the Rfam family "5.8S ribosomal RNA", at positions 35 to 154 of the family's 154-position model. The record is from RNAcentral.